AACAUCAGUGCUGCAGUGGGUAGCACUUCUGCCUCUAAGAUAGUAGGUCGCUGGUUCAAUGCCAGCCAGUGUUC
Molecule: non-coding RNA, 74 nt
Organism: Danionella cerebrum
Lineage: Eukaryota; Metazoa; Chordata; Actinopteri; Cypriniformes; Danionidae
Source: the annotation of a GenBank genome assembly